Molecule: ribosomal RNA, 426 nt
Filed under: uncultured Ambisporaceae
Lineage: Eukaryota; Fungi; Glomeromycota; Glomeromycetes; Archaeosporales; Ambisporaceae
Description: SSU rRNA
Rfam family: Eukaryotic small subunit ribosomal RNA
Source: RNAcentral
GGGAGGUAGUGACAAUAAUAACAAUACAGGGCCCUUACGGGUCUUGUAAUUGGAAUGAGUACAAUUUAAAUCUCUUAACGAGGAACAAUUGGAGGGCAAGUCUGGUGCCAGCAGCCGCGGUAAUUCCAGCUCCAAUAGCGUAUAUUAAAGUUGUUGCAGUUAAAAAGCUCGUAGUUGAAUUUUGGGUCUGGCCGGGCGGUCCGCCCUCUGGGCGAGCACUGUUCCGACGCCGGGCCUAUCCUUCUGGUGAGUCGGCAUGUCCUUUGUUGGGUGUGUCGGGGAACCAGGACCAUUACCUUGAAAAAAUUAGAGUGUUCAAAGCAGGCGUUAUAUGCUCGAACACAUUAGCAUGGAAUAAUGGAAUAGGACGAUGGUUCUAUUUUGUUGGUUCUAGGACCGUUGUAAUGAUUAAUAGGGAUAGUUGGG